This 87-nucleotide non-coding RNA is filed under the name Halomonas alimentaria. Lineage: Bacteria; Pseudomonadati; Pseudomonadota; Gammaproteobacteria; Oceanospirillales; Halomonadaceae. The record is from RNAcentral.
AGUUAUGGCGGCUGUGCGUGGGAACCCUUCGGGGUUGCCGGUUUCCUUUGGUGCCGGUCGGCCAACCUGCGUGCAGUCGCCUCCAUU